GCAUGCCUGGAUGUCCCUGCCCUGGCUGUGGCAUGGCGGGCCCAAGGCUCCUCUUCCUCACUGCCCUUGCCCUGGAACUCUUGGGAAGGGCUGGGGGUUCCCAGCCGGCCCUCCGGAGCCGGGGGACUGCGACGGCCUGUCGCCUGGACAACAAGGAAACUGGGGCCUGGCGCCUGAAGCAGCUGCUCAGCUUCGCCCUGGGGGGACUCUUGGGCAAUGUGUUUCUGCAUCUGCUGCCCGAAGCCUGGGCCUACACGUGCAGCACCAGCCCUGGUGGUGAGGGGCAGAGCCUGCAGCAGCAGCAACAGCUGGGGCUGUGGGUCAUUGCUGGCAUCCUGACCUUCCUGGCGUUGGAGAAGAUGUUCCUGGACAGCAAGGAGGAGGGGACCAGCCAGGUGGGCCCCACACUCAAG
This 413-nucleotide long non-coding RNA is filed under the name Pan troglodytes (chimpanzee). Its description in RNAcentral is "long non-coding RNA NONPTRT002630". The record is from RNAcentral. Lineage: Eukaryota; Metazoa; Chordata; Mammalia; Primates; Hominidae.